RNAcentral lists this ribosomal RNA (119 nucleotides) under Pteropus alecto (black flying fox). Lineage: Eukaryota; Metazoa; Chordata; Mammalia; Chiroptera; Pteropodidae. The record is from RNAcentral.
AUCUAUGGCCAUACCACCCUCAAUGUGCUCAAUCUUGUCCGAUCUUGGAAGCUAAGCAGGGUUGGGCCUGAUUAAUAUUUGAAUGGGAGACCACCUAGGAAGACCAGGUGCUGUAGGCA